UUAUCUCUAUAGUUGAAAGAGCGUAAAAUAGAAAAAUAAAAAGUGAGAAGAGAAAUUUUUUUUCUUCCAAAAUCUCUCUCAAAACAUAUAGUUCAAUCCCUUUUAUUCUCCCCUCUACCUUCUCUCCCUUGCCCAAUGCCACUUUCACCUUGGCCUUCAUUUUUGACCCAUCACACUCAAACCUUAACUCUCAUCUGCACGCCAACAAUUCCAUCUGAACCGAGCUCCAUUAUCGAUUACGCUCGUAAAUACCGUUGGCUAGCCGCUCAUCACAUAGUCACCGACAGCACCCCAAAAAUCCAUGAUAGCCAAGUUUAUCGUGGACCCAUUUCUGCUCAUCCCCCUUGGCUCACAGUAGCACUCCAUCCUCAUUUCAUUCUCACUCCACAUGUCUACAUAGCCCAUUCCACUACAAAACUAUCGUGAAACCCAUUUUCUCAAUUUCUCCUUCAUACCCAGUAGAGUAACACACAUAGAAUCUCGUCCUCAUUGCAGUACCACUACUAGUGCACAAAAGAACGAAGGAAAGAGGCUACCAUCCUAUCAUAUUGGAAGUCUGGGUAUCAAUUUGCUGCAAUUCAAAGAGCUGUCUGAAUUACCGAUGUUGUUUUCUUCGAAUAGCUAGCUAUUCAUAUCCCUUAUCCAGAAAUUAGAGGUGCUCUCAAGUAUUUUAUACGUAAAAUCUCGUGCUAGGCUAAAAUAUCAAUUUGGAUGUCAUUAUGUAGUUCUUAUGAUUUCUUAUAAUUGAACUCUUUUGUUGCAAUUGGGUAUUUAAUGAUGCGAAUCCAAAUCCUUUACCUGACAAUGUGAACAUCAAUUAGGUUUUGGUGAAGGCUUUCUUGAUGUUGUGGGUUAUUGUUUCUUAAUAAUUUUUUUAACCCGUUCUUAGAUUACAUUUUGUCUCUGUGGUAGUUCAUUUGCUGUUUCAAUAAAACUCUUUUUGCUAGAUUAAAA
Molecule: unclassified non-coding RNA, 954 nt
Filed under: Hevea brasiliensis (rubber tree)
Lineage: Eukaryota; Viridiplantae; Streptophyta; Magnoliopsida; Malpighiales; Euphorbiaceae
Source: RNAcentral